This is a small nuclear RNA of Myotis daubentonii (Daubenton's bat), 104 nucleotides long. The record is from RefSeq and is a predicted model, not a curated record. Lineage: Eukaryota; Metazoa; Chordata; Mammalia; Chiroptera; Vespertilionidae.
GGGCUCGCUUGGACAGCACUUAUACUACAACUGGAAUGAUACAGAGAAUAGUAUGGCCCCUGUGCAAGGAGGACACGAAAAUUCGUAAAGCAUUCCAUGUUUUU